This 703-nucleotide ribosomal RNA is filed under the name Micromonospora sp. RNAcentral describes it as "bacterial SSU rRNA". It matches the Rfam family "Bacterial small subunit ribosomal RNA", at positions 106 to 824 of the family's 1533-position model. The record is from RNAcentral. Lineage: Bacteria; Bacillati; Actinomycetota; Actinomycetes; Micromonosporales; Micromonosporaceae.
GUGAGUAACACGUGAGCAACCUGCCCCAGGCUUUGGGAUAACCCCGGGAAACCGGGGCUAAUACCGAAUAUGACCUUGCACCGCAUGGUGUUUGGUGGAAAGUUUUUCGGCUUGGGAUGGGCUCGCGGCCUAUCAGCUUGUUGGUGGGGUGAUGGCCUACCAAGGCGACGACGGGUAGCCGGCCUGAGAGGGCGACCGGCCACACUGGGACUGAGACACGGCCCAGACUCCUACGGGAGGCAGCAGUGGGGAAUAUUGCACAAUGGGCGGAAGCCUGAUGCAGCGACGCCGCGUGAGGGAUGACGGCCUUCGGGUUGUAAACCUCUUUCAGCAGGGACGAAGCGUAAGUGACGGUACCUGCAGAAGAAGCGCCGGCCAACUACGUGCCAGCAGCCGCGGUAAGACGUAGGGCGCGAGCGUUGUCCGGAUUUAUUGGGCGUAAAGAGCUCGUAGGCGGCUUGUCGCGUCGACCGUGAAAACCUGGGGCUCAACCCCAGGCCUGCGGUCGAUACGGGCAGGCUAGAGUUCGGUAGGGGAGACUGGAAUUCCUGGUGUAGCGGUGAAAUGCGCAGAUAUCAGGAGGAACACCGGUGGCGAAGGCGGGUCUCUGGGCCGAUACUGACGCUGAGGAGCGAAAGCGUGGGGAGCGAACAGGAUUAGAUACCCUGGUAGUCCACGCUGUAAACGUUGGGCGCUAGGUGUG